GACGAACGCUGGCGGCGUGCUUAACACAUGCAAGUCGAACGGAAAGGCCCUGCUUUUGUGGGGUGCUCGAGUGGCGAACGGGUGAGUAACACGUGAGUAACCUGCCCUUGACUUUGGGAUAACUUCAGGAAACUGGGGCUAAUACCGGAUAGGAGCUCCUGCUGCAUGGUGGGGGUUGGAAAGUUUCGGCGGUUGGGGAUGGACUCGCGGCUUAUCAGCUUGUUGGUGGGGUAGUGGCUUACCAAGGCUUUGACGGGUAGCCGGCCUGAGAGGGUGACCGGCCACAGUGGGACUGAGAGACGGCCCAGAGUCCUACGGGAGGCAGCAGUGGGGAAUAGUGCACAAUGGGCGGAAGCCUGAUGCAGCAACGCCGCGUGCGGGAUGACGGCCUUCGGGUUGUAAACCGCUUUCGCCUGUGACGAAGCGUGAGUGACGGUAAUGGGUAAAGAAGCACCGGCUAACUACGUG
This 468-nucleotide ribosomal RNA is filed under the name uncultured bacterium. RNAcentral's name for it is "partial 16S ribosomal RNA". It matches the Rfam family "Bacterial small subunit ribosomal RNA", at positions 28 to 507 of the family's 1533-position model. The record is from RNAcentral.